Molecule: ribosomal RNA, 253 nt
Filed under: uncultured bacterium
Lineage: Bacteria
Description: partial 16S ribosomal RNA
Rfam family: Bacterial small subunit ribosomal RNA
Source: RNAcentral
GACAGAGGGGGCAAGCGUUGCUCGGAAUUACUGGGCGUAAAGGGCGCGUAGGCGGGAUGGCAAGUCGGUCGUGAAAUCCCUCGGCUCAACUGAGGAUCGUCGAUCGAUACUGCCGUUCUUGAGGAUUGCAGAGGAGACUGGAAUUCCCGGUGUAGCGGUGAAAUGUGUAGAGAUGUGGAGGAACACCGAUGGCGAAGGCAGCCCCCUGGGUCAAGAUUGACGCUCAUGCACGAAAGCGUGGGGAGCAAACAGG